GAUAAUUUAAUUGUGAUAAGAUUAAUGAACGAAUAUAAACAUACAAUUACAAAAGUUUUGUCGAAAAAUUAGGAAAAAAAAAUCAAAAAAGUUUCCACGUUUGAUAAAAAAAAAAAAUCGAAACAAAUUCAAUAUAGCUACCUUCAAACUCUUAUUACAUAAGAACGCCGCAAAUAAUUUUAAGGUUUAUGACCUUAAAAUGUAGCUUAGAUUGUACAAAUGAUUUUUGUUUUUUUUUUCAAAGAGACAUACGAAAUAUACGAAACAUACAAAAGUAACGAGUAACGAUAUUACUGAUGCGGGUACUAGUAUCAAAAGUAACGUAUACAUGCGGGUACUCAUUUUUGUCGUUACUUUUACAGCCCUAAUUGGGCCUAUUCUGCGAGAUCUUUUACUCUGCUAUUCUGUUAUGAAUUUCCAUACAAAAAUCAAAUCUGUCAAAAAAUCUUUUAUGAUUUUCAUAUUUGGUAUUCGACAUACCCAAUCUGCUAUGAAAUCUUUUAUAAAAUCUUUUACGAAGUUCGAACUGUCAAAAAUUCUUUUACGAAUCUCAUUUUUGGUAUUCAGCAAGCCUUAAUCUGUUAUGAAAUCUUUUAUGAAUCAUAAAAGAAUAAAAGACAGAUUUUUGUUGCUUUUAUCAUAAAAGAUUUCAUGAAAGUAGCAAAUUUUCAAUAAAAGUACCUAGGUGCUUUUUUUAUAUUUAGCUUUGUUUUAUAAAUAACUGAGACGUAGAUACGACAAGUGACUAGGACUAGGACAAAUCUAAUGCAAAACUAAAAGAAUCAACAAAACACCAAGAUCACUUCACCCACUAUUCCGUCUUCAAUCAAGCAACUACUGCCACAAGGAACGGUCGUCCUUGCCUCGACGUGUAGUUGCAAUCAUCUACAAGAACUACCACCUCCUUUCAAGAACUUUUUCACUUGAUAUAAAUGAAAUUAAGAAACACCAUGUUUAUUUAAAUUAUAAUUUAUUUCAUAAAUAAAAGAAAACACAUAUUUUCCAAAAAAAAUAGGGAAGUUAACAAUUGCAUUUAAAAUGUUGCAAUCUUCUCUGAGCACUUUGUCCAAUGUCCAUAAAAUAGGGUUGGUUUUGUAGCGGUGAGGUAUCUGCUCCAGAUUGUAAAUAUUUUGCGAAAGGCAAGAUGCACGCGAAUCUAUUUAUUUACUUUAAUUUUAUAGGAAGAAACACAAUUUUGCUGAAAAAUCUACGAGAAAAUUCAAUUCACUUUACUUUCCACAUUUUGAUUUGUUUUUUUUUUUUCUGUCUUUGGGAAUGACAGAUGAUAAAAGAAUUUAGUUCCGUUUGCUUUGUUUAUAGCAGAUUUUCCUUUUCGAAGUUUCAUAACAGAAUUCUAUAAAAGUUCGAACUCCUGAAUACCAAUUAUAAAAGAUCUUUUAAGGUUGAGAUCUUUUAACAUUCAUAACAGAAAAUUCAUAGCAGAAUAAAAGUUUUGGCAGAAUGGGCCCAAAUGCAGAGAUACCCAAAGGAGAUGGGAAACUUUCGUACGUUUUACCCCCCAAAACCCAUUUGUUUAUUUCGUGUUGUUGUAAUCUCUUUUGUAUUCGUGAAUAAAUGUGAAAAACACACAUAGUGUAGCCACGGUGUUUUUACGCACACCUAAGCAAAAAUCUACGAUUUUUCACGUAUACUUAGCCAAAAAUGUAUAUUUUUUCACGCAUACUUAUCCAAAAAUGUCUAAAGCAGCUUGUAGGCAAACCCGUAUGACGUCAGAAGCAGGGUUCGGACUUUACUUCGAUCGAAGUAGAUUUACUUCGAUUUUGGGAAAAAAAUAAAAUCUACUUCCCUACUUCUCUUUUUCAGGAUCUACUUCUAUUUCUUGAUUGAAAAAUAUUUUUCAAAUAAUAAAUUUAGAGAAAGGGAUUUAACUUCAAUUUUAAAUCUGGUCGAGGCAUUGAGAAAUAAAGCUCAACUGAAAUCUCAAAAGAUGAAUGGAGGUCAAUUAUUCUUCGAAUUCAAGAUAUAAAUAAAGUUUAUCAAAGUAAUUUUGACUGAUUUUGGAGAAUUCCUGAUCAAAAAUUUGUUAGAUUAUGCUGAAUUAACCGUUUUACCCCAAAGCACCGUUACAACCACUAGAUGAGAAAGGUUUUUUGGAAAAGAUCAUAAUAAAAAAAGUAAAGAAAAAUAAUUUUGUUGAAAAAUAAUUUUUUUAGAAUAAAUUUUUGUAAAUAAAUGUUCUGAAAGUUUAAUUUUGAAAUCUACUUCCGAAAUUUGGGAUCUACUUCACUUUUUUUUCAAAUUUGCUUCGAAAUUUUGAAACUGAAGUCCGAACCCUGGUCAGAAGUUUCUCAUCUCUUUUGGGUAUCUCUGCCCAAAUGACUACAUGAAGUAGGUCAGUCUAUUUCUUGAAAAAUGGAGGGGAGGAAAAUUUUCUUGCAACCUCCACGUGCAAAUAUCUUCCGAACAUGCGCUGUAAACUUCAUUGAAAACAACAAAUAAAUUAAAAUGAGACAUUUAUUCAUUUCGCCGAUUACUGACUCCACCAUUAAAUCUUAAUUAAUUUAAUUUCCAAGUAAAUUGGCGUUAAAACAUGAGUAGUAGUCGAAAUAGUCUUUUGGAGUUGAUGAAAGCCACUGAACUACCUGCAACUUUCUAAAACUAAUAAAAAUAACAAAAGCAGAAUGAUAUACUACCAUGAAGGGGGCAUUAAAUCCCCAAAUUAUAUAUUUUAUAAAUAUAUUCACUUACCAUUCAAAUGCACGUUAUGUAAAACAAUAAUUUAGUGUCUUUUCAAUUCAUAUCUUUAAUGGCGUACAAUUUCAAAAUCCUUGAAAUAUGUAUAAUAGAAAUUAAUUUACACAAAACAGAUUUAACAAUUAACAAUUUAAAAAUCAAAAAUAUACAAAUUUAAAUCGAAAUGUGUAUAUACUUCCAAUUCGGAUUUGGUGACGAAGUGUGAAAUCACUCGAUAGUCGAUAUACAGAUAUGCGGUUGUUUUGUUUUGUGUACAUUUCUAAAAUGUAUUUUUUAUAUAUGUAUAUAUAUAUGGCAUUAAAUGAAGAAGAAUGCCCAUCAAAAUUUUUUUGUUGUUGAUUAAUAAGAAAACAGAAAGGAGACAACAAAACAAAUUCGAAGAAAAUUGUCAAAAAAAAAAAAGUAAACAAAAGUCAUCGACAAACUAUAUCAAGACUGGAAACUUUCGUACAUCUUAGAGCCCCCGCACACUACAAACUUUCUAUCGGCCGACAGUUUAGUCGAUCUCUUAAGCAGUAUCAAAAUGUAUGAAAGUGCGCACACUACAACGAUUAAGUAUCGGCCGAUCAAAAAGUUUGUUUUGCUACACAAUUGCCUUCAAACUAAAAUAUUUCAUACCCAGCCGACUAUUUAGUUUUUAGUCGCCUGCCUGUGCGCACACUAGGAGCCCAACCCGACUAAACUAUCUGCCGAUAGAAAGUCUGUAGUGUGCGAGGGCUCUUACGUCUUACCCCUCAAACCUCUUGUUUACAGUAAGUCUGUUCAGCGAGGAUUUUUCUAGAUCAGAACAGGACAGGACAGCACAGUUUCGUGAGAAACGUCAGCUCAAGUUAGAACAGUCAUUUAAACGUCAGUUGUCAAAAUAAAAAAAAAAAAAAACAAAUUGUAAAUUAUAUCAAUUUUUU
Molecule: long non-coding RNA, 3620 nt
Organism: Episyrphus balteatus (marmalade hoverfly)
Lineage: Eukaryota; Metazoa; Arthropoda; Insecta; Diptera; Syrphidae
Exons: 2
Source: RefSeq, a predicted model, not a curated record